This 77-nucleotide transfer RNA is filed under the name Vicinamibacteria bacterium. RNAcentral's name for it is "tRNA-Arg". It matches the Rfam family "tRNA". From Rfam's summary of the family: Transfer RNA (tRNA) molecules are approximately 80 nucleotides in length. Lineage: Bacteria; Pseudomonadati; Acidobacteriota; Vicinamibacteria. The record is from RNAcentral.
GCGCCCCUAGCUCAAUUGGAUAGAGCAACAGACUACGAAUCUGUAGGUUGGAGGUUCGAAUCCUCCGGGGCGCACCA